This is a long non-coding RNA of Scomber scombrus (Atlantic mackerel), 500 nucleotides long. RefSeq lists it as uncharacterized. The transcript is spliced from 3 exons. The record is from RefSeq and is a predicted model, not a curated record. NCBI's taxonomy places the organism in Eukaryota, Metazoa, Chordata, Actinopteri, Scombriformes, Scombridae.
AUGAUCCAGCUGCAGUUUACUCAGCAGUGAAAACAACAGAAGACGUCAGUUAUGGACAAAUAGUCAUCAAAUCAAACAGGAAGAGAGAGAAUGAUCCAGCUGCAGUUUACUCAGCAGUGAAAAGAGCAGAAGACGUCAGUUAUGGACAAAUAGUCGUCAAAUCAAACAUGAAGAGAGUGUCUCCAUUAGAGCCAGAGGUUGUCUACUCUUCACUGAGGUAGACCUCCACACCUUCACACCAGUCCAACCACUGACGUCCAGCUGGCCUGUUACUGGUCUCCAGAGCCCCUCAGACAGUAGUACAUUCAUUUAUAUAGUUUAUAUAGUUCAUGUUGUACUCACUAAAUUACACUCAGACAGCAACAGAAAAACAAACAGAUUCAUUUUCAGAUGUUUUAGUGAAUAAACAGUCAUCAAAAACACUGUUGCAAAACUUUGCAACAGGUGGGUUGGUGACGUAGCCUCAGAGCGAUCACACUGUCUUUACUUGCUCAACACAA